RNAcentral lists this ribosomal RNA (467 nucleotides) under uncultured bacterium. Its description in RNAcentral is "partial 16S ribosomal RNA". It matches the Rfam family "Bacterial small subunit ribosomal RNA", at positions 28 to 507 of the family's 1533-position model. The record is from RNAcentral.
GACGAACGCUGGCGGCGUGCUUAACACAUGCAAGUCGAACGGAAAGGCCUCUUUCGGGGGGUACUCGAGUGGCGAACGGGUGAGUAACACGUGAGUAACCUGCCCUUGACUUUGGGAUAACUUCAGGAAACUGGGGCUAAUACCGGAUAGGAGCUCCUGCUGCAUGGUGGGGGUUGGAAAGUUUCGGCGGUUGGGGAUGGACUCGCGGCUUAUCAGCUUGUUGGUGGGGUAGUGGCUUACCAAGGCUUUGACGGGUAGCCGGCCUGAGAGGGUGACCGGCCACAUUGGGUCUGAGAUACGGCCCAGACUCCUACGGGAGGCAGCAGUGGGGAAUAUUGCACAAUGGGUGGAAGCCUGAUGCAGCAACGCCGUGUGCGGGAUGACGGCCUUCGGGUUGUAAACCGCUUUCGCUCAUGACGAAGCUUUGUGUGACGGUAGUGGGUAAAGAAGCACCGGCUAACUACGUG